This 253-nucleotide ribosomal RNA is filed under the name uncultured bacterium. RNAcentral's name for it is "partial 16S ribosomal RNA". It matches the Rfam family "Bacterial small subunit ribosomal RNA", at positions 524 to 776 of the family's 1533-position model. The record is from RNAcentral.
UACGUAGGGGGCUAGCGUUGUCCGGAAUCAUUGGGCGUAAAGAGCGUGUAGGCGGCUCGAUAAGUCCGCUGUGAAAGUCCAGGGCUCAACCCUGGGAUGCCGGUGGAUACUGUCGGGCUCGAGUCCGGAAGAGGCGAGUGGAAUUCCUGGUGUAGCGGUGAAAUGCGCAGAUAUCAGGAGGAACACCGGUGGCGAAGGCGGGUCUCUGGGCCGAUACUGACGCUGAGACGCGAAAGCGUGGGGAGCAAACAGG